AGUGGCUAUUUUUAGUUUUUUAAAGUUAUUUCUCAUUUUGCUAUUGCACAUAACUCUUGUUAAGUUUUGUUGUUUCUUUAAUCUUGUGAAAUUCUAAUUUUGUGAUUCAUGUAAUCUGUUUACAGGAUUUUUGAAAUGGGUAGGCUAUGGAAGGUCUCUCACAAGGACGUUCCUGUAGUUUCAUCUUUUAGCAGUGCAUAUUCUUUGGAUGAACCCUUUGUGCCUAAUGACUUCGCGGAAGAUGAUUCAUAUCCUAUGUCACCGGUAGUUAUUUAUGUAUUCCCUUUCCUUUUCAUUCUGUUUUUAGUUUUCACUUUCAGUUUAUGUAAUUUUCUUUGGUUGUCUUUUAUUCAGGAACUAUCAGAAGAUGACGGCAACUUUGACAGAGCUCUAUUCGAGUUCUAUAUGAAUCAUGUGCGUGCUAUUUUGUUUACUUGCAGUAGUUGCUUCCAUAUGUUUGCGUUGACAGUCCUCUUCUUUUUUGUUUGGUUUUUAUUCUUCUGAGAAUAAAAUGUCUGAUUGUAGGAGCUCCGAAGAAGCUUUUGUGACCUUCUAUGAUUUUUUGCUUCUUUGCUUGUUCGCAACUUCAAUCAUGCAGAUAAGUAUGCGAUGUUUACCUUGUAUAUAAUCUCUGAUUGUAGGAGCUCUGUAAAUGAAAAUGUUGCCUGAAAUAAAAUUUGUAGUUUCAAAUUUUUGUAGAGAAUUUUUCCAAAGUAUUUGCGAUUGUUUUGCUACUGCAAGCUACUCAAGCUUACAUUUAGAAUGAGAUCUCGUGGCAUCGUUAGAAGUUCCUCUUGAGCGGUUGUUCUUUUUAUGCCUUCCAUCUGAAAAUUUGAAAAAUAAGAUGUCAUUAAUAUCAAUAGCCAAAAUGCUGUGUUAUUUAUGAUUUUCAUUGACCAAGCACUGUUAAUUGUGAUCAUUACUGAGAAUGUAGUUUAUUUCUUACUUGCAAUUUCACUGUAAAUGUUAUUUCAGGGGAAAUCAACACUGUAUAUUUAGGGGAAUUAUAAUGGAACUUAAAGUGCAAAUUUCAGUGUAUUUGCACUGUAAUUUGAGGGAUUUUACAGUAGUAAAUUUAGAGAAAUUACACUGUAAUUCCUGUGCAAAUCACUGUAAUUGCCCUGCGACUUACAGGGCAAUUAUUUUGGUUUCUCUUUGAAGGGUAACAUCAUUUUUCUAGAUAGUGUUGCGGGUUUGUCAAAGUUAGGUGUAAUUUCAGAGCAAUUCAACUGUAAAUCUGCAGAUUUACAGUGUAAUUCAAUUACACUGUAACUCCACUGUAAAUCUGUACAUAUGCUAGUGUAAAUUACACUCUUUAAGGAAUUCUACUGUAAAUCUAUAAUUUCUACUGUAAUUCAACUGAAUUACUACUGUAAUUUUGGUGUAAGUCUACUGUAGUUUUAGAGUCAUCAGAUUAGUGCCUAAUGUGUUUGAAUUUUCACUGUUAAAUGAGUGCAAAAUGACAGCAUUAUAGUUAAAUGAUCUGCUAGAUAGUACAUGAGCAAUAUAACAAAAUGACUGGAAUUAUGUUUUCUAAAUUUGCUCUGUAGUGUACCUCCAGUGUAAUUGUAUCUAUGUACAAUGUAAUUGUAUCUGUAAGUUGAGUGUAAAUAGACAGUAAUCACAGUAAUCACAGUGUUCCUAAUUUCUGAAAGUUUCAGUGUCAGUGUUUUUUUUAUUGAAAGUUCUAGUAGUAAUGGCACUGUAAUAUUUACACACUAUAAGUGUAAGUAAUACCCCUGAUAUGCCACUGUAACGGCAGUGCUAAUUUGACUGUAAGUUUUGUGUAAAUGACUGUAAUUAUCUACAAGUUCCAGUCAUAGUGUCACUGUAAUUUCAAACAGUAUGAGUAAAUACACUGUAAUUUUAGUAGUUCCAGUGCUAAUUUGACUGUAAGUUUUGUGUAUCUAGACUGUAAACUGCAAGUUACCAAUAUACUGUAAUGGCAGAUUAAUUUUCUCACAAAUGGCUGUAAGUAGACAGUAAUGACAGUGUUAUUUGAUUGUAUUUUCUGUGUAAUGACAGUGUAAGUUGACACAGUGGAGAUACACAUUUGUACUGUAUUUUACAAAUUACAGGCGCAGCUGUUUUGUGGUCCAG
RNAcentral lists this long non-coding RNA (2100 nucleotides) under Triticum aestivum (bread wheat). Its description in RNAcentral is "long non-coding RNA (TAES_LNC005742)". The record is from RNAcentral. Lineage: Eukaryota; Viridiplantae; Streptophyta; Magnoliopsida; Poales; Poaceae.